This is a long non-coding RNA of Capsicum annuum, 1107 nucleotides long. RefSeq lists it as uncharacterized. Lineage: Eukaryota; Viridiplantae; Streptophyta; Magnoliopsida; Solanales; Solanaceae. The record is from RefSeq and is a predicted model, not a curated record. The transcript has 2 exons.
AUCCUAUAUAUUUAAUUAUUUCUUAUCUUAAGAUUAAAUUUAAAUCGUCCGGUCAAACAAUCAAACGAUCUAAAUUUUAGUCAAUUUUUCAAAGAACCAGUGCAUCUUAUGCGUCUGUACCUUGGAAAUAUUAAUACACGCAUAAGUUUUACAGUGAGAAACCAUCGUAUAGUCCCAAUAUCCUUUUCUCAAAAUAGCAACGAUGGUCGCCCCUCUUUCACCCUUCUCAUCGCCGCCCCUUCUCCACUUUGCCGAAAACGGAACCUCUCUAACCACCAUAGUUGGCCACCUACCACCACCUGCACGAGAAUCCCACCAAAACCGACCCUUCAGCCCACGAAUCCUUCAAGAACAGAAAAAACAGUCCUCUAAUCCGUAUAACAAUGAAAAAAGGAGUCAAAAUCGCCAUUAAUGGCCUGGAAAAGCAAGAAAUUUGUUUUAGAUUUUUGAAUAAAUUUCAAACCAAUUUUUUCAUCACGUUUUUCUUAAAUCGAGUGUCGAAUCCGAACUUUCAAGUACGUAUUCGCCUAUAAAUAUGGGUCCUCGUUAUCUCUAAGAGGGCAGGCAAAAAAUUCAUAAGAAACUCAGAGAGAAAAAAAAGCAAAGUAAAAAAAGAGCAAAGAUCCAUGAGAAAAACAAGAGUUCAAGGUCAGUGGAAAGGCACGUCAACAAAUUGAAAACCAGUAGAACAAAAGGCAUCUCAAAAUCGAUGACUUCUUUUCGAUUUCGGUCCAAAUUCUGAGUAUAGGAGUUUGAGUUUUUACUGUCAGAACCUUGCUAUCGAAACCCAGAUUUUGCUGCCAAAAGUUGGAGUUCUCAUUUGAAACUCAUUCAUGAUCCAAAAGGGUUUUGGGUCAGCAGCUAUAGGAGGACCGUACGCUGUCAGAGUCAAGUAUUAGGAGUUUUGGGCUACAAGGAACCCAAUGCUUUAAUUUUCAUUGUCCUUUACAUCACGUUAUUAUUGACAUUGUUACUUGCUAACAUGCUUUGUGUGAUUUGGCAUAGACUAAGAAACUUUGUUAAAACAAUCUUCAAUCUGCCGUUAACGUAUACCGUUGUUUCUUAUCUCGGAUUUUCAAUAAACAAAAGUGGGUAACGUUCUUUUCA